GAGUUUGAUCGUGGCUCAGAAUGAACGCUGGCGGCGUGCCUAACACAUGCAAGUCGCACGAGAAAGGUCUGGUGUAAGCUGGGCCGAGUAAAGUGGCGCACGGGUGAGUAACGCGUGGGUGACCUACCCCUGAGUCUGGGAUAACUUCGCGAAAGCGGGGCUAAUACCGGAUAGGCUCUACCAUUCGUUUGGUAGGGAAGCCGGCCUCUCGAAGAAGCUGGUGCUUGGGGAUGGGCCCGCGUCCUAUCAGCUAGUUGGUGGGGUAAUGGCCCACCAAGGCGACGACGGGUAGCUGGUCUGAGAGGAUGAUCAGCCACACUGGCACUGGAACACGGGCCAGACUCCUACGGGAGGCAGCAGUGAGGAAUUUUGCGCAAUGGCCGCAAGGCUGACGCAGCAACGCCGCGUGGGUGAAGAAGGCCUCGGUCGUAAGACCUCGUC
Molecule: ribosomal RNA, 441 nt
Filed under: uncultured microorganism
Description: bacterial SSU rRNA
Rfam family: Bacterial small subunit ribosomal RNA
Source: RNAcentral